Long non-coding RNA from Epinephelus moara (kelp grouper), 914 nucleotides. RefSeq lists it as uncharacterized. The record is from RefSeq and is a predicted model, not a curated record. NCBI's taxonomy places the organism in Eukaryota, Metazoa, Chordata, Actinopteri, Perciformes, Serranidae. The transcript has 5 exons.
GGUGUGGAAAAAAAAGAAAGAAGAAGGGCUAUGGCGAUAUCGACGCUCCUCUCCCGGACGAAAAGAAAAGCGGAAAAGCACAGAGAGAAACAAGAGAGACAAGUCAGGACAACAGAAACCGGAGAGAACUGAUCGGAGCAGAGAGGAGAGAUGAGGAGAUGGAUGGAGCAGUGGAGAGGUAGGAGAUGAGCGCCUUAAGGUGCGGCUGCACCCCCUGCUUCUAAUAUCAUUUUCUCCAAAAUUGCAUAAGCUCCUUAAAAUGACUGACAAGAUCUCUUCAUCUAUAUAUCUCUCUAUCUCCCGGUCUAUCUCUCUGUUUAUUUAUUCAUGUGAGAUGAGUCCCCGGAGCUGAGUUUAGUGGCGGCGUGGCGCAGCGCCACGCGCUCUUGUUGUCCAUACAGCUGACACCCAUGGGAGAAAAGGGAGUCCGACCUGAAACCUGACAGUGUUCGGCCCUCACCGGAAGCCUCACCUCUGGUUUCCUCUUGCAACAGUUGUCUCCCUUUGAUACAAUCCCCUCCACUCCACGGAGCCAGCUGGUAAUUAAGGACCCUUCAAACUCCACUGUGAAUGCUGGGAAUGUCUCCUGUGCUGAGAAUUUAGAGUUUGAUGUGUCGCCCCCUUCUGGUCACAAAUGUAACUGCAGUGCAUUCAGGAGACAGAGGUACUGCAGCUCAGCACCUUCUGACUGCCCAGCUGUGGAAAUCCAGAGAAGAGAAAAGAGGAGGUGAUGCAAAAUGCUGGUAUGCCCAUCUGAGUCGCCUUCAGCUAUUGUAGUGCAUUGGUGGACUUCGUUUUGCCCUGGGUUUCCCCUGUCAGGCUUCGCACAGGCCACUGCCCGACCCUCUGAUAGACAUGGGAUGUUCCUGUAGACACUAAUCAGGGCUGGAAAUUAUAUAUUUUUUUCUGGAAUA